CAAAAAAUAGUUUAUUGAAAAUUUUAAUUUUGGAGAUUAAAGAUAUAAAAAAUUUAUUUUUUUGA
This 65-nucleotide transfer RNA is filed under the name Parapolybia varia. RNAcentral describes it as "tRNA-Pro". Lineage: Eukaryota; Metazoa; Arthropoda; Insecta; Hymenoptera; Vespidae. The record is from RNAcentral.